RNAcentral lists this transfer RNA (84 nucleotides) under Arsukibacterium sp. MJ3. It matches the Rfam family "tRNA". Rfam says of the family: Transfer RNA (tRNA) molecules are approximately 80 nucleotides in length. The record is from Rfam by way of RNAcentral. Lineage: Bacteria; Pseudomonadati; Pseudomonadota; Gammaproteobacteria; Chromatiales; Chromatiaceae.
GCCUGGGUGGCGAAAUCGGUAGACGCAGUGGAUUCAAAAUCCACCGGGGGAAACUCCGUGCCGGUUCGAGUCCGGCCCUAGGCA